This 254-nucleotide ribosomal RNA is filed under the name uncultured bacterium. Its description in RNAcentral is "partial 16S ribosomal RNA". It matches the Rfam family "Bacterial small subunit ribosomal RNA", at positions 524 to 776 of the family's 1533-position model. The record is from RNAcentral.
UACGAAGGGGGCUAGCGUUGUUCGGAAUUACUGGGCGUAAAGCGCGCGUAGGCGGUUUUGCAAGCCAGAGGUGAAAUGCCUGAGCUUAACUUAGGAAUUGCCUUUGGGACUGCGAGGCUUUGAGGACGGAAGAGGUGAGUGGAAUUCCCAGUGUAGAGGUGAAAUUCGUAGAUAUUGGGAAGAACACCGGUGGCGAAGGCGGCUCACUGGUCCGUUUCUGACGCUGUAGCGCGAAAGCGUGGGGAUCAAACAGG